AUUGAACGCUGGCGGCAGGCCUAACACAUGCAAGUCGAACGGUAACAGGAAACAGCUUGCUGUUUCGCUGACGAGUGGCGGGCGGGUGAGUCAUGUCUGGGAAACUGCCUGAUGGAGGGGGAUAACUACUGGAAACGGUAGCUAAUACCGCAUAACGUCGCAAGACCAAAGAGGGGGACCUUCGGGCCUCUUGCCAUCGGAUGUGCCCAGAUGGGAUUAGCUAGUAGGUGGGGUAACGGCUCACCUAGGCGACGAUCCCUAGCUGGUCUGAGAGGAUGACCAGCCACACUGGAACUGAGACACGGUCCAGACUCCUACGGGAGGCAGCAGUGGGGAAUAUUGCACAAUGGGCGCAAGCCUGAUGCAGCCAUGCCGCGUGUAUGAAGAAGGCCUUCGGGUUGUAAAGUACUUUUAGCGGGGAGGAAGGGAGUAAAGUUAAUACCUUUGCUCAUUGACGUUACCCGCAGAAGAAGCACCGGCUAACUCCGUG
This 490-nucleotide ribosomal RNA is filed under the name uncultured bacterium. RNAcentral's name for it is "partial 16S ribosomal RNA". It matches the Rfam family "Bacterial small subunit ribosomal RNA", at positions 30 to 507 of the family's 1533-position model. The record is from RNAcentral.